RNAcentral lists this ribosomal RNA (843 nucleotides) under Triticum aestivum (bread wheat). RNAcentral's name for it is "partial small subunit ribosomal RNA". The record is from RNAcentral. Lineage: Eukaryota; Viridiplantae; Streptophyta; Magnoliopsida; Poales; Poaceae.
AAUACUAUUUGGAGCAAGAUUUGGAAAUUAUCUUGUCCAACAAAAAUGAAGAUCUUUAUUUGGCGUACCUUACAUGGAACCCUCCCAUGUUGUGUUACACUUGCUAAUAGACAUAUGAAAGUUUUGCCCACCUACCCAUCAUGUUCGAACGGGCAUGAAGAUACUAAACACUUAUUAUUUUUAUGUCAAAAGGCAAAAGAGGUGUGGGAGAAACUGGGAUUGCACGAAGCCAUUAAAAAAGCCUGUGCGGUCGAUCGUGCGGGAGAGGCAAUACUUGAAUUUCUAAUUUUUAUGCCAGAACAUGAGCUAUCUAUAGUGGGCAUACAAAAUGUUCGCGAACUGAUCGCUAUAACAGCCUGGUAUUUAUGGUGGGAAAGACGUUCGCUAGUUCAUCAGGGGAAGACCCAAGAUGCAUACCAAAUUUCGAUGGGAGCCCAUGCUAUAACGACGAACUAUGUUAUUGCCCAAUCCUCCAAGGCAACAAAUAAAAUAGAGGGAUGGACAAGACCCCCUCUAGGUUUUGUGAAAUUAAAUGUCGAUGCUUCUUUCGAUCAAGACAUGCUUAGAGGCACAACGGGAGCUGUACUUACAGAUGAUAAAGGAAGAUUUAUUGUUGGAGGAAAUUGGAAGAUGGAUUGGUGUGCAGAUGUUUUAACAGCAGAAGCCAUGACACUACGUUUUGGCUUAUUACUUGCACAAAAGGCGGGAAGUAACCGACUUGUUGUUAACUCCGACAAUAUGGAAGUAAUUGACACGACAAAGAAUGGAGGACAUACAGCGGGAGCGGCGGCAGCUGUGUUUGAUGAUUGUUAUUUUUUGGCUUGUGAUUUUUUUGUUAGUUAG